GGCGGGUUAUCCUGGUUCGCAACUUGCCUUUAAAGGCCGAAGAACUUAGGGUUAUCGGUUGUAUCUCCACCAUUCUGGGGAUAGCGGGUUCAAUUCCCGCACCCGCCU
RNAcentral lists this transfer RNA (108 nucleotides) under Calothrix membranacea FACHB-236. Its description in RNAcentral is "tRNA-OTHER". Lineage: Bacteria; Bacillati; Cyanobacteriota; Cyanophyceae; Nostocales; Calotrichaceae. The record is from RNAcentral.